This 254-nucleotide ribosomal RNA is filed under the name uncultured bacterium. Its description in RNAcentral is "partial 16S ribosomal RNA". It matches the Rfam family "Bacterial small subunit ribosomal RNA", at positions 524 to 776 of the family's 1533-position model. The record is from RNAcentral.
CACGUAGGGGGCAAGCGUUGUCCGGAUUUAUUGGGCGUAAAGAGCUCGUAGGCGGUUCGGUAAGUCGGGUGUGAAACCUCCAGGCUCAACCUGGAGACGCCACCCGAUACUGCUGUGACUAGAGUCCGGUAGGGGAGCGUGGAAUUCCGGGUGUAGUGGUGGAAUGCGUAGAGAUCCGGAGGAACACCAGCGGCGAAGGCGGCGUCCUGGACUGGUACUGACGCUCAGGAGCGAAAGCGUGGGGAGCGAUCCGG